UAAAAAAAAGAUAAAUAAAUGUAAAAAAAAAAAUUUAAAGUCACGAGACAGGGUGAGACAGUGCAGACAGUGGGCACGGAGGGGGGACCGAGGACAGAGGCCCGGAGAGAUGGGAGGACCCGGUGAGGGAAGCCUAGACCCCGUGUCUGGCCACGGGCAGGGGACAGAGCGAGCCGCGUCUGGCGAGUCCAGGAGGAAUGUGGUCCCGGAAGGAAGGCGGGGCCAGCUGUGUCGGGAGCUGGUGACCGCCAGAGUGACACGGAGACAGAAUUGCCGUUGACCCCAGCAAUGUGGAGGCCCGUCCACCCUCGUCAGCGCGAGUCGGGUGCCGGAGAAAGCCCGGUGCCGACGGGGUUGGGAACUCUGUGCGGGAGCCUGGCCGCUGUGGCUUCUUGGGGACAGAGGGAGAGACACAGGGGCCCAACGGUGGGGCCCAACGGAAGGCCCGUCCCCUGAGCACACGUGACCGGGCCUGCGUCCCCUCCCCGUGCCUGUCGGCCUCCUGCCCUGCAGUCUGGGCCCUGAGACCGUCAGGCCUGCAGGAUGGCUGGUCCUGUGGGGCCGCAGGAGGCCGCGAUGGGCCCCGAUGCCUCCCUGAGAGACGCGUGCCCUUGACACGGACGACCCUGCGAUGCCGUUAAGGAGCUGACGCGGCUCUUUGACAUCGGCACGCGACGGGUCAGAGGGCGGGCAUGUGCGGUCGUCUCCGGGGCGAGAAACGGCUCCUGCCGGCCAUGCCCCACGUGCCCUCUCAAUGUUCCCACGAAGAAACUGUAUCGCGGUGGGAGAUGGCAAAGUGGAACCAGAGGAGGCAGAAUCAGCAGCCGUGUUGGCCACGCCCACCCCCAACCUGAGGAAGCCACGGUAAGUAAGGCCGCUGGAGAGGACGGCUCACCUGUGACAGUGACGUUCAGGACCGCGCUGCAGACGAGGCCGUGGCCGUUGUCGGCCGUGCAGAAGUAGCCCCCCGCGUGGCUCCCGCCGACCGCGGGGAUCUCCAGCUGUGCCCUCCGGGAACGCCGGCGUUUCGUCCCCAGGCUCUCCCCCGUGUCCUCCCGGUGCCAGGAGAACGUGGUGUCCCCUGUGCCUUCGGCCGCGGAGCAGAUGAGGACCAGAGGCUCCCCUGCAAGUGCCCAGCCCUCCGGGGGCUGGGUCUCCAGGAGCACUCCGGACACCGGGACCCCUGCGUGGACACGAGACAGUGGAUGGCUGCGAUCCGCAGUUCCGGGGCCCGGCUCCAGUCUGACAGCACGACCCAGCGGUCCCUGAAGAAGCUGAAACGAAGCACAGUGUCCGGCCGCUCUGGAGGCAGCUGAGUUUCGCAGCUCAGAGGUCAGUGUCUCUCGACUCCUUGUCUGGCACCUCAGGACCAGUGUGUCACCUUCAAACACGCCAUGUGGAGCCUGGAGCACGAGCCAGCCUGGAAGCCACGCAGAGACAGGGGCUUGGUGCUGAGGACGCCCCCUCCGCUGGGUGCAGCUCGGAUCGCAAGGCUUGGCUGUGUUUUUCCUGUCUCUCUUGCAGGAUUCGUCUCCUACCCUGGGCCCACUCCUUCCCUCCCGAGUCUGUAUGACCUGCUUCAGCGGCAAGUCGUAAAUGAACCCCAAACACACCACCUUGACACCCCCCCGCCCGCCACUCGGGGGCAGAACCACAGCAUGAGGAUUCUAACGUGACCGUGAGCCGCACAGUGACUUUGCCGAACGCGGUUACAGAUCACCCCCGACCGGCUCACCCGGGCCCCAAGCGGGAGUCACUGGGGGUCGGGGGGGGGGGAUUCCGGGGAAGAGACUAGAAACUGUCACCGUGCACUGGGGUUUGCUCUGUGGCAGGCUUGUCAAACACAAACCCCCGGGGGCGAGGGACGGGGAGCGGGGUCCCUGGCGGACAUUCUCCCGCUCUUCAGACGCACGUGACAGGUCAGUUCUGUCCCCUGUAAGGUGACUCAGGGACUGACUGCCUGUCCCCCAGCGCGGUCCCCAUGCGGUGGUCCAGACCAUUGUCUGUGAAGUGGGCAAAGCAGGACCGGGAGAGAGUGGGUGCCCCCUGAGGCAGGACAGUGGGAGGAGAGAAGGGACGGGUGUCAGGAAGGGGGAGGGGGAGGGACACAGGCCUGACGGGGAAACUCCCCUCCUCCGAACUCAUCUGUGUCCCUGUCUUGUCUCUUGCAGGAGGCUGGCCAGCCCUGAGGGCACGGGCUAAAGCAGCCUCAGUUUGCAAUCCCCUAAACGAAUUCCUUAAUUCCUCCCCGUAAAGGCACAGGGAUGUCUGCCGAGUGGUGUUAGACAAUGACACUCUAACCUCUGUCUCGACAGUCCUUUGAAAAACAUCUACAGACAAUGAGGAGCCCUGGGAAAUGACGGUGUUGGAGGUCAAGGGUUAGAGCUGAGCGAAGGCCCCCAGGUCUGCCCACCCCAGGGGGCGAGGAUACGCAAAACGACUUGUAAAGGUCUAAGUAAUUCACCUGCUUGCUCACCUGAAGAAAAGAUCAUGUUCACUUGGUCACUUGGGAGCGAGUCCUGGGUCUGGCAUCUGUACUGUCCAGAGUCACGGACCUCCAGGGUGUUGCCUGGGGUUUCGCGUAGCAUUCUCCUCCCAAGGUACCAAAGGAACCGUUUUAUUUUCUCUGGAGCGUGGAAGUGAAAUACAUUGCAAGUCAGGGUCACUGUCUCUCCUCUGAAGGCGACGGUCCAUGGAGGAUAGAGGGAAAUCACGGGUUUGGACGCAGCUUCUGAGGAAGAGAGAGACAGAGCCUGAGAUGGGGAUGCCUGUGGUCCCCGCCGCGGCCGUCUGUGUGGGACGGACCCGAGGACCAGGCUUGGGGGGAUCCCCAGGAAAGCCCCCGUCGGGAGGAACACGGUUUGCCUAGGCUCGGCUUUCCUGGCUGCAUUCACCUUUGCCAGGGGUGCGGUGGCCGCUCUGUGGUCUGUAGGGGCAGGCUGGCCUUCCAGGGGACGACCCCAGCCGGCCCCGCUCUCCGUGGAAGGGCAGCCAUGCGGGCUGGGCCCUCGGUCGGUCCCUCCUGACUCCCUCCUGUUACAGCCGUCUGUCUAAGAGGAGCCUUUGUGUGGAGUGGCCGCGUGGUGGGGUGGGGGCUGUC
This is a long non-coding RNA of Panthera uncia (snow leopard), 3100 nucleotides long. RefSeq lists it as uncharacterized. NCBI's taxonomy places the organism in Eukaryota, Metazoa, Chordata, Mammalia, Carnivora, Felidae. The record is from RefSeq and is a predicted model, not a curated record. The transcript is spliced from 3 exons.